RNAcentral lists this non-coding RNA (24 nucleotides) under Rattus norvegicus (Norway rat). Lineage: Eukaryota; Metazoa; Chordata; Mammalia; Rodentia; Muridae. The record is from RNAcentral.
UAAGGCUUUCAUUUAGUGGUGGGA